ACCUUACCUGGCCUUGACAUCCACGGAACUUUCCAGAGAUGGAUUGGUGCCUUUGGGAACCGUGAGACAGGUGGUGCAUGGCUGUUGUCAGCUCGUGUCGUGAGAUGUUGGGUUAAGUCCCGCAACGAGCGCAACCCUUGUCCUUAGUUGCCAGCACGUGAUGGUGGGAACUUUAAGGAGACCGCCGGUGACAAACCGGAGGAAGGUGGGGAUGACGUCAAGUCAUCAUGGCCCUUACGGCCAGGGGUACACACGU
Molecule: ribosomal RNA, 256 nt
Filed under: uncultured bacterium
Lineage: Bacteria
Description: partial 16S ribosomal RNA
Rfam family: Bacterial small subunit ribosomal RNA
Source: RNAcentral